RNAcentral lists this unclassified non-coding RNA (396 nucleotides) under Saturnispora kantuleensis. RNAcentral's name for it is "partial contains ITS1, 5.8S rRNA and ITS2". The stretch from base 98 to 250 matches the Rfam family "5.8S ribosomal RNA". Lineage: Eukaryota; Fungi; Ascomycota; Pichiomycetes; Pichiales; Pichiaceae. The record is from RNAcentral.
UUAGGUGAAACUGCGGAAGGAUCAUUAAGGUGAUUAACUAUACACUGUGUGGACUGGAACCCUUUAAAGUGGAUAUUUACAAGAACCGAUAAGUUAAAACUUUCAACAACGGAUCUCUUGGCUCUCGCACCGAUGAAGAGCGCAGCGAAAUGCGAUAACUAAUGUGAAUUGCAGGCAUCGUGAAUCAUCGAGUUCUUGAACGCACAUUGCGCCCUGUGGUAUUCCGCAGGGCAUGCUUGUUUGAGCGUCAGUUCAAUCUUUGAGCUGGGGUUACUGUGGACGUGUCUGCGGUUUCCUUGAAAACGAGUGAGUUGUGUUAACUACGUUUCGCACGACCAUCAUUUUGACCUCAAAUCAAGUAGGAGUACCCGCUGAACUUAAGCAUAUCAAUAAGCG